Drosophila melanogaster (fruit fly) is the source of this 351-nucleotide non-coding RNA. NCBI's taxonomy places the organism in Eukaryota, Metazoa, Arthropoda, Insecta, Diptera, Drosophilidae. The record is from Ensembl.
CUUCUUCUUUCGGGCGCAGCUGAAAGGUUGAGGUUGGCUUGAGGAUAGCUGCGAACUGGCUAUAAUUGGCAUGCAGUUUUGGGAGCGCUGAGCGCUGAUUGUUGACAACUGGCUGGCACAACUUCAUCAUCGUCAGCCACGGGAAGCGAACUCGAUCUCGAGCUCUGGUGAGGAUCGGAUCGGAGCGACUCGGCAAAACAAAGGGCGACAUUAAUGCACUGCCAGCAGCACUCUCGAAGUCGCCGAAGGGGCGUGACGAAUUUGACACAACGGCAAUGACUUUAUUAACAACUGACUCCUGCUCCGACAUCCCCGAUCACCCUGGCAGAAGCCACGGCUCAAACCCCCGUC